GUACCUUGUGUAUCAGGGUAGAUUAAUUUAUUAAUAAAAAUUUAUUUUUCCCGAAUUUAGAAGAUUUAUUUUUAUAUAUAUCUUAUUGUGAAAUAAAUAUUUUUAAUAUAAAAAUAGAAAUGAAACGUUAUUCGUUUCUAAAUAUAUCUGGUUUUUUAGGAAAAAAGUUUAAUUUGUUUUUUAAUUUAAAAUUUUAUUAUUUUUUAUAAUUUUUAAUUAAAAGGUUAUUUUUUUAGGGAUUAGCUUGAAAAAAUAUAAUUAAAAUAAAAAUAUUAAUUUGUAAAAUUAGGAUUAGAAGUUUUCAUAUUUUAUAGGAUGUUAUAUUUAAUUCAUUAUUUUUUUAAUUUUUAUUUUAUUUAAUUUUUUUACUAAAAUUAAUUAAUUAAUUUUAUAUUUUUUGUUAAAAUGAUUUAAUUAGUAUAAAUUUUUGUUAAAAAAUUUUUGUUUUAAGGUUAAGAAAAGGAAUUCGGCAAAUUAUUUUUCACCUGUUUAAUAAAAACAUGGCCUUUUGAUUAUAAUUUAAGGUCUAGCCUGCCCUAUGAAGUUUUAAAUGGCCGCGGUAUUUUGACCGUGCAAAGGUAGCAUAAUAAUUAGUUUUUUAAUUGAAAGCUGGUAUGAAUGGCUGAAUGAAAAAAUUACUGUCUCUUUUUAAUUUUUUAGAAUUUUAUUUUUUAGUUAGAAAGCUUAAAUUUUAUUAAAAGACGAGAAGACCCUAUAGAGUUUUAUAGAAUUGAAUUUUUUUCUUUUUUAGAAUUUUUAAAUUAAAAAUUUAGUUUUAUUUGGUUGGGGCGAUUAAAAAAUUAAUAAAACUUUUUUCUAUUUUUACAUUAAUUUAUGAAUUAUUGAUCCAUUAUUUAUGAUUAUAAGAUAAAAUUACCUUAGGGAUAACAGCGUAAUCUCUUUUGAGAGUUCUAAUCGAAAGGGGGGGUUGCGACCUCGAUGUUGGAUUAAAAUUAAAUUUUGGUGCAGAAGCUGAGAGUUUAGGUCUGUUCGACCUUUGAAAUUUUACAUGAUCUGAGUUUAAACCGGCGUGAGCCAGGUUGGUUUCUAUCUUUAUUUGAUUAAAAUAUUUUAGUAC
This 1078-nucleotide ribosomal RNA is filed under the name Xylotrechus quadripes. RNAcentral describes it as "partial large subunit ribosomal RNA". The stretch from base 697 to 1055 matches the Rfam family "Bacterial large subunit ribosomal RNA", at positions 2075 to 2645 of the family's 2925-position model. The record is from RNAcentral. Lineage: Eukaryota; Metazoa; Arthropoda; Insecta; Coleoptera; Cerambycidae.